GACGAAGAACGUAGCGAAAUGCGAUAAGUAAUGUGAAUUGCAGAAUUCAGUGAAUCAUCGAAUCUUUGAACGCACAUUGCGCCCGCCAGUAUUCUGGCGGGCAUGCCUGUCCGAGCGUCAUUUCAACCCUCGAACCCCUCCGGGGGGUCGGCGUUGGGGAUCGGCCCUUUACCGGCCGGCCCCGAAAUACAGUGGCGGUCUCGCCGCAGCCUCUCCUGCGCAGUAGUUUGCACACUCGCACCGGGAGCGCGGCGCAGUCCAAUGCCGUAAAACACCCAACUUUCUGAAAUGUUGACCUCGGAUCAGGUAGGAAUACCCGCUGAACUUAAGCAUAUCAAUAAGCGGAGGA
RNAcentral lists this unclassified non-coding RNA (349 nucleotides) under soil metagenome. Its description in RNAcentral is "partial contains 5.8S ribosomal RNA, internal transcribed spacer 2, and large subunit ribosomal RNA". The stretch from base 1 to 120 matches the Rfam family "5.8S ribosomal RNA", at positions 35 to 154 of the family's 154-position model. The record is from RNAcentral.